CGCGGCGUCACGUGAUGUUUGGAGCUGCUUCCGGGUCGAUGCGGGACGCGGCGGCCGGGCCUGGAAGUCCAAGAAGGGAGCAUGGACCAGCCCAGUGGAAGGAGUUUCAUGCAAGUUCUGUGUGAGAAAUACAGCCCUGAGAACUUCCCCUACCGCCGGGGGCCUGGCAUGGGGGUGCACGUCCCAGCCACCCCACAGGGCUCCCCUAUGAAAGACCGCCUGAACCUGCCCAGUGUGCUGGUGCUCAACAGCUGUGGCAUCACCUGUGCCGGGGACGAGAACGAGAUCGCCGCCUUCUGCGCCCACGUCUUCGAGCUCGACCUCUCUGACAACAAACUGGAAGACUGGCACGAGGUCAGUAAAAUUGUGUCCAACGUUCCCCACUUGGAGUUUCUAAACCUGAGUUCCAACCCUCUCAGUUUGUCCGUUCUAGAGAGAAGUUGCGCUGGGUCUUUCGCUGGCGUCCGCAAACUUGUGCUCAACAACAGCAAAGCUUCCUGGGAAACAGUGCACACCAUCCUGCAGGAAUUGCCUGACUUGGAGGAACUCUUCCUGUGCCUUAAUGACUACGAAACAGUGUCUUGUUCUCCAGUUUGCUGUCAGUCUCUCAAGCUCCUCCACAUAACUGACAACAAUCUUCAAGACUGGACUGAAAUUCGAAAGCUGGGAAUUAUGUUUCCAUCCCUGGACACACUUAUCCUGGCUAACAACAACCUCACCACCAUUGAAGAGUCAGAAGAUUCCCUGGCAAGGCUCUUCCCCAACCUAAGAUCCAUCAACUUGCACAAGUCAGGUCUGCAUUGCUGGGAAGACAUUGACAAGUUAAAUUCUUUCCCGAAGCUCGAGGAAGUGAAAUUGCUGGGAAUUCCUCUGCUGCAGUCUUACACCACCGAGGAACGCAGGAAGCUGCUAAUAGCCAGGUUGCCAUCCAUCACCAAGCUCAACGGCAGCAUCGUGGCCGACGGCGAGCGCGAGGACUCGGAGCGAUUCUUCAUCCGCUACUACAUGGAGUUCCCUGAGGAGGAGGUCCCCUUCAGGUAUCACGAGCUGGUGACCAAGUACGGGAAGCUGGAGCCCUUGGCAGUGGUGGAUCUGCGGCCUCAGAGCAGCGCCAAGGUGGAGGUUCACUUCCAGGACAAGGUGGAGGAGAUGUCCAUCCGUCUCGACCAGACUGUGGCAGAGCUGAAGAAGCACUUAAAAACUGUGGUGCAGCUGUCAACAAGCAACAUGCUGCUCUUCUACUUGGACCAGGAAGCUCCUUUUGGUCCCGAGGAGAUGAAAUACAGCUCGCGGGCGCUGCAUUCCUACGGCAUCCGGGAUGGGGAUAAAAUUUACGUGGAGCCCAGAAUGAAAUAGCCUUUUUGCCCACACCCACACGCCCCCACACACCCACACACAUGCAUUGAGGAGUUUGUUGCAAGGUUUUUAUUUCGGUUGGUUGGUUGAGGUUUGGUUGUGUUUCUGUAGCAGGUAAUUUCUUAGCCCGGAGGAAGUGCCCUGAUGUGAGAACCAUGCCCACCAUCCACUGCAGGUGACCUUGAGGUGACAAUUGACUUCAGGACGUGUGUUUCAGUGUGGGCAAUACCUUGAUGUUUCCUUUGAUGCUCCGGUAUACUCGUGAUUUGGCAUGAAUGGUCAGUUGUUCAAGCUAAACAAUGCCAGGGUCCAUAAGGGAGGAGACAGCUCGGUGCAGAUUUUGACCUGUUGUUUUCUUUUCCUGAAUUUUUUGGUGUUUUGCUCCACCAGAUCUCCCUUUGGCCUAGCUAUCCAACUGUGGCUCGAGCUUGCUGUAGUAUUUUCUUGCAGCUUGGUGCUGUCUCAACCUUUUGUUGUGCUCGAGUUCACAGGAAAGAUCUCCAUCAGUAUUCUGCUUGAUUCAGAGCUCAGGUACUUUAGUGCAUCCACUUCACUCCACUGGUUUGCUUUCUGUGAGUGCACAACAUGGGGGAAAGAAAAGAACUUCCCAGAAAGAAACUUUCUUUUCAAAGUGCACGCUCUAUAUCCACCUGAUUUUGGAGGGAAAAAAAGAGGUUUUGGCUGCUGUACCCAUCUCACACGGUGCCUGCAGCCUGUGGGGAUAAAGGAUGUGUUGGAAAGUGAAUUUUGGGAGGUGGUGGAUGAGCGCUGCAUUGGAAGGGCUUUUUGAACAGCAGGUCAACAAGGGGUUAAAGAGCAGCUUCCCCUGUUGUCCAUCCUGAUGCUGAAGAGAUCCUCCAUGCACUUCACUUUGUACCAGUGGGUGCUGCAAGUGGAAUGGCUAAAAUCCCUCUCCUGGGAGAGAGGAAGAGUCAAGUUGAAGUUUGUGUUUGUUGCUGUUGCACCAGUUCAAACCUAGCACUUUGCCCGGGACCCCUGCCCGGGGGUCCCUGCGUAGGGUCCGGACUCGGAGGAGGUGUUGGCUUGGAUCAGCCCCUGCAGGUGGAGGAACAAAGCAGCUGGGCCCACGAUGGGUGUUCAGCAGGACUCAAUGUUGGGUGUUCAGCAGUUUUCACUCCAACAAAGCUGCUGGACCCACAUUGGGUGUUCAGCAGGGCCCACGUUGGGUGUUCAGCUGGACCCAUGUUGGGUGUUCAGCUGGACCCAUGUUGGGUGUUCAGCAAGUUUUACUCCAACAAAGCUGCUGGACUCACACUGGGUGUUCAGCAAGGUUCACUGAACAAAGCAGCUGGACCCACCUUGGGUGUUCAGCAGGUUUCAUUAAAAAAAACCAGCUGGACCCACAUUGGAUGCUCAGCAGAACCCAUGUUGGGUGUUCAGCAGUUUUCACUCCAACAAAGCUGCUGGACCCAUGCUGGGUGUUCAGCAGGGUUCAUUCCAACAAAGUUGCUGGACCCAUGUUGUUUGUUCAGCAGGGUUCACUGAACCAAGCAGCUGAACCCAUGCUGGAUGUUCAGCUGGACCCACGUUGGGUGUUCAGCAAGGUUUACUGAACAAACCAGCUGGACCCACGUUGGGUGUUCAGCAGAGUUCACUGAACAAACCAGCUGGACCCACAUUGGAUGCUCAGCAGAACCCAUGUUGGGUGUUCAGCUGGACUCAACAUUGGGUGUUCAGCAGUUUUCACUCCAGCAAAGCAGUUGGACCCAUGUUGGGUGCCCAGCAGGGCCCACUUUGGAUGCCCAGCAGGUUUCUCUCCCUCUCUCUCUCUUGGCUUUCCCCUCGCAGGCAUCGCGUGCUGCUGCUUCACGUAGUCCCUGUUUUCUACUGCACAGCAGAUCCCCUGCCUGGUCAGUGAAAUCCUCCUCCUUUUUUCCUCUCUCUUGUUUCGCUUUCCUGCGUCUUCCCCGCUCCAAGUUGAAGAGUUUCCCAAUUUCCUGUCCCAAGCAGCUGCUCAGCAGUUUUUGGAGCUGUGCAGCGAGGGCUCUAGUUACACAUGAACUCCUGACCUUCAUUUUGAAAUGCUCCCUUUAUCCCCACGUGCACUUUCUUCCCCAGGAUGCUUUUUCCCACAUCACUGAGCUCCUUUGGUAUUCUUGGAGUUGUGUAUUUCUCUUCACAUUUUACCUGGAUUGUGGGGUGGGAUCAUUGGGGAGGGGACUAAGUAUUAUUAUCUCAUUAGUCUUCAGGUUUAGGAUUUGGGGAUUGUUCAGAGGGGAUUAGUUCCUUAUCCAAAGCAAGGGUUAAAAUGGGAGGAUUUAAAACAAGUCACUAAUUUGUGCCUCAUCCCCCUGCCAAAAAUAGCAAUUUCUUGGCCCCAUUGAGAUGAGCAAUAGGGAAGGGAGUGAGAUUUUCCACAGGUAACAUAGAUUUCCAUAGAUCCAUGGUACCUGUAACCUAAACAGCAGGGAGAUAGUGGCAGUAUAACAUAAAAUGAUGCUUUUAUAAGCUAGAGCUUUACUGAAGAUGUAUUUUCCAUUUGGGCAGCAAAAAUAAUUUGCUGCCUGAUAGCAGAACCCUUAAGCCAACACUUCUGUAUGAUAUAUACAUACCUACCAAUAGGAAAAGUUGUGGUUAAUAAGAUAUUUUGUUAUAAAGCAAAGUUUUAUGAAGAUAUGGUUGUUUAAUAUUAGAAACCUAUUUCAGCCCUUGACCUCCAGUGUGAGUAGGAGAUCCCUGAGUGGCUGCAGAGUCCGAGGCAAGGACCUGUGGGGAUGCAAAAUCUCUGACCCAACUCUCCAGAGCAUAAUUGCCUCUGUGGGUGUAUUUAUGGCAUUGUACCUGCUGUCAGUGAGAUGCUGUAACUCUUGUCCAACUUCCUCAGCACAAUUAAGAGUCUGGGUUUCAGAGAAGGGAAUAAACAAAGGCCAUUAAAGAGUGGAAUGGGAUGAUAAAGAAGGGCCAAGUGCUUUCAAGUUUGUUUGCCCACUAAAAACUGGGCUGUCCGUGGAGGGAUUGGUGCUGUCACCAGCUCAGAACUGGCAGUAAAUGCUGCUUUCAUUUGUGACAGACCUGGUGGGAAGAUGGAAAAAGAGAGCACAGAAGGUUAACAGGUGCUGGGGGUUUGGUGCUGGCACCCAAACCUGCUCCCCUGGUCCCUUCAGGUGUGAAAUCACCACCCUGCUGUUUCUCCAGGGAGGGUUUUUCUCAAGGCAUUCACCUUGUGUGCAGGUAAUGGAGCAGUCGUGGGGUAGAAACCAAAAAUCUUGGUUGGCUUCCCAAGGAGAAGGAGUCACCCCAAAACCAGAGGGAGUUUGUGUGGGACCAAACAGCACACGAGGAUGUGGCAAAAUAGCCCAAAUCAUGGUGCCUUGUGGGGAAGGGUCUCGUGUGUGUGCCACCCAACAGGGCACCAUGUCUUGGGGAGGGAGGAGAAGGUUUGGCUGCUGAGUGAGGGUGCAGAUGGGGCAGGAGGUUUGAUUUAAACCUCUGCCAUGUCCAGGCAUUGCCAGCCUGUGCCCUCUCCAGCUGAAGGUCCCUGGGUCUGUCACAUCCGCUUGAGACAACAAAAUAGAUGUGCAAACUUCCCUGGUUUGUGUGUGCUUCUACCUGAGGGCUGCUUUUGUGUGUUGUUCAUGCAUCAAAGUGUGCCCAGCAGGCAGAGCACCUGCUCCACGAGGACUCGGGUGACAGCUGGAUACCAAAGUGUCCCACGGCUCUGCGUACCCAGUUUGAGGCUGUGCUCUGUGGUUUUGGAGAUGUUCCUGUUCAAUAUUCAUAUUUUUGGCCAGAUGUUGCAGGCAGAUCGCUGUUAUGAACAUGCACGGGGUGCUGGCUGUCCUCUGCUCGCUGGCUGGGGUUUGUAAUCUGGUUUUUUGGGAGCUGCAGGUGUGACCCGUGGUGGCUUGGGGGACGUGGUCUCCUGCUCUGGGUCUGCAAUCCCGUGGAGGUGCCACAGCUCUGCCUCCUCUCUUGUCAGUGACAUUCUGUGCAAGAUUUGAGAAUGCAAACGAGUGCUUAAAGCAGCCCAGAGGCUAAAAUCUGUAUUCUGGCAGCUGUGCCUCCCUGGUUUGGAUGUGGCACUUUUGUGGCAGCAGAGGCGCCUCCCCCAGAGCAGCCUUAGAGGGGCUCCAGCCACCUCAGGCCUUUCCCUCUGUGAUUGCUGUUCUGCAGUUCCUGAAAACUUCAAAUACAAUUUAAACAUGAAGAUCUGUUCUUGCUCCCUGUUAAUGUUGCAUCCAUCUGUAAUUUCAAAGAAGAAGAACUGUAAGUCCAUCUGGUUUUUGAUUCUGGUUUCUCUCCCAGGGGAUACACCUCCCGCUCCCACAAUUUGCCUUUGGUUUGCUUGCAGACUUAGUGGUGGAAUUCAGGCCAAAAUAGGUCAUUGGUUUGGAUCAGUUCAAUAAACUUAUGUAAGUUUUUACA
Molecule: RNA transcript, 5742 nt
Organism: Zonotrichia leucophrys gambelii
Lineage: Eukaryota; Metazoa; Chordata; Aves; Passeriformes; Passerellidae
Gene: TBCEL
Gene name: tubulin folding cofactor E like
Exons: 9
Source: RefSeq, a predicted model, not a curated record